RNAcentral lists this ribosomal RNA (936 nucleotides) under Elphidiella groenlandica. RNAcentral describes it as "SSU rRNA". It matches the Rfam family "Eukaryotic small subunit ribosomal RNA", at positions 1167 to 1801 of the family's 1831-position model. The record is from RNAcentral. Lineage: Eukaryota; Foraminifera; Rotaliida; Elphidiidae.
CCACAAGAACGCGUGGAGCAUGUGGCUUAAUUUGACUCAACGCGGGAAAUCUUACCGGGUCCGGACACACUGAGGAUUGACAGAUAUAUGCAUAUAUAUUGCUUUCGGGCAGUAUAUGUGUGAAAGAUGCUAGUUCUUUCAUGAUUAUGUGAUAGGUGGUGCAUGGCCGUUCUUAGUUCGUGGAGUGAUCUGUCUGCUUAAUUGCGUUUCACUUUUAUAGAGAUAUUUAAAACGUAUAUAUUUAUAUUUAUUUAUUUAUUUUAUGCAUAAAUUAUCUCUCAGUUGAAAGCAACGAACGUGACCGUUGUCUUUUGUUGUCUAUAUCCCUUUAUAAAUAGACUUUUUUUUAAUAAACAAAACUAAAGAGACCGCUGUAUUUUCUUUUAAACCAGAGGAAGGUAACGGCAAUAACAGGUCUGUGAUGCCCUUAGAUGUUCCGGGCUGCACACGUGCUACAAUAAUUAUUGCAGUGAGCAUCUCAUAUUUUUUUACACUGUUUUAAAUUCUAACAGCGUUAUACUCUUUCGGGGGUAUGCUGUUCUGUUUUGAAUUUACAGUAAAGCCUACAUCGAGAGUUUUCUUUUACGUGGGUAAUCAAUUAGAAGUAAUGAAUUUCCUAUUUUUGUAUAUUUUAUGCAGUAUUUUAUAUCCACUUGUAUUUUCAUACAAGACUGCGUAUAUAUUAUAUUUUUUGCACAUACAAUUGUCAAUUUAUAGUGGGGACAGACCAUUGUUAAUUGUUGGUCUCGGUCUUAACUAGGAAUGCCUUGUACGGGUCUUUGGUUCAACAAACCACCUGGAAUACGUCCCUGCCCUUUGUACACACCGCCCGUCGCUCUUACCGAUGAACUUCUCUGUGAGUUUCAGGGACCGUCCUCUUUAUAGGAAACUUAAACGAACAGUGUGGUUUAAAGGAAAGAGAAGUCGAACAAGGCA